This 504-nucleotide ribosomal RNA is filed under the name Enterobacter sp. RNAcentral describes it as "bacterial SSU rRNA". It matches the Rfam family "Bacterial small subunit ribosomal RNA", at positions 10 to 510 of the family's 1533-position model. Lineage: Bacteria; Pseudomonadati; Pseudomonadota; Gammaproteobacteria; Enterobacterales; Enterobacteriaceae. The record is from RNAcentral.
AGUUUGAUCAUGGCUCAGAUUGAACGCUGGCGGCAGGCCUAACACAUGCAAGUCGAGCGGAUGACAGGAGCUUGCUCCUGGAUUCAGCGGCGGACGGGUGAGUAAUGCCUAGGAAUCUGCCUGGUAGUGGGGGACAACGUUUCGAAAGGAACGCUAAUACCGCAUACGUCCUACGGGAGAAAGCAGGGGACCUUCGGGCCUUGCGCUAUCAGAUGAGCCUAGGUCGGAUUAGCUUGUUGGUGAGGUAAUGGCUCACCAAGGCGACGAUCCGUAACUGGUCUGAGAGGAUGAUCAGUCACACUGGAACUGAGACACGGUCCAGACUCCUACGGGAGGCAGCAGUGGGGAAUAUUGGACAAUGGGCGAAAGCCUGAUCCAGCCAUGCCGCGUGUGUGAAGAAGGUCUUCGGAUUGUAAAGCACUUUAAGUNNNAGGAAGGGUUGUAGAUUAAUACUCUGCAAUUUUGACGUUACCGACAGAAUAAGCACCGGCUAACUCUGUGCCA